RNAcentral lists this ribosomal RNA (254 nucleotides) under uncultured bacterium. Its description in RNAcentral is "partial 16S ribosomal RNA". It matches the Rfam family "Bacterial small subunit ribosomal RNA", at positions 524 to 776 of the family's 1533-position model. The record is from RNAcentral.
UACGUAGGGGGCGAGCGUUGUCCGGAUUCAUUGGGCGUAAAGAGCUCGUAGGCGGUUUGGUAAGUCGGGUGUGAAAACCCCAGGCUCAACCUGGGGACGCCACCUGAUACUGCUAUGACUUGAGUCUGGUAGGGGACCACGGAAUUCCUGGUGUAGCGGUGAAAUGCGCAGAUAUCAGGAGGAACACCGGUGGCGAAGGCGGUGGUCUGGGCCAGUACUGACGCUGAGGAGCGAAAGCGUGGGGAGCGAACAGG